This 2204-nucleotide long non-coding RNA is filed under the name Homo sapiens (human). RNAcentral describes it as "HSALNT0315307". Lineage: Eukaryota; Metazoa; Chordata; Mammalia; Primates; Hominidae. The record is from RNAcentral.
GGGCAAUGGGCGGGGCUAAAGGUUAAAAAAGGGAGCGGUUUCUUUAUUUAAAAUUUUUAAAAUUUAAAUUUUGUGUUGUAGGUUCUUUAAGCAUUGACGAGCUAAAGACCAUUUUAAAUUCUAAGCCUAGGGAAGCUUACAAUGGAACUAAUCAGAUGUUUUUAUGUCGGUUUGUUCCGAGACAGUGGAAGACUGGAGGUCAUGUGCUUGUGUCUAAUGUUUAGCAAAAUCUUAGUGAAACGAGGGCGAUAGGAAUGGGGGCUGGGGAAGACUUAGAUGGGAUAAAAAGAGGUGCGGCUGGAAGAACUAAAUCACUUUAAAACUUCUGAAAAUAAAUGUUGACCAUUGUAGUCAGAGGAGUAAAAUGUUCAGAGAAAUGGGGAUGAUUAAACAAGAACGGCAAGCCAGAUUGAGUCAGAAAAUUAUCUUCCUGCCAGAAAUUCUGUCUCCCACAACGGCAUCAGGGGGUGGUUACUUGCCCAGGGUGUAGUCAGUUUUUAAAAAGCUUAAGGGUUACCAACAUAUUCCUAAAUUUCCUGAAUUUGCUGUGAUUCCAGGAUUCAUUUAAACUCUUGAGACUGUUUUACUUUCGGCACGAAAUCAGCUCAUGGGCUUUAUAAAUGUAGAACCUACUGCAUUAUAGUUCUUCUUUUUGUUUAUUCUAAAACUGUUAGUAGCAGCCAGCGUAUUAUAUGAUUUGGAUUGGGCCAUGAACAACCGUAACGAGUGAUAAAGCACCCUUUCCUGUUCCAAUGCAAAGAACAACUAUGAAAAGAAAGUACUGGCAAAUUUAUCAUCUUGUAGUUAGUUCCUGGCCAAAGAAAAUGGAAAAAAAACAUCAGCCCGUCCCACAAAAACACAUAUAUUCAAGAAAGAUAAAUUACAUUGUGAUGAUUCAAUCAUAAAGCUACUCAAGGAUGUGCUCCACCAAAAUGAGGAUAUGAAGCCAAUAUAAAGGAAGGCAAUGAAUACAAGAGACAGGCAAAGGGAGUUCCCAGGACAUAAGCAAGGGACGUCCCAGGUAGCAAGUGUGCACCUGGUGUCCAGGGCCAUCUGUCCAGGGAGAAGUCAGCUGCCAUGUCAUGAAGACGCUCGAGUAGCCCUAUGAGAUUCCCAUGUGAACAGAAAUUGAGUCCUCCUGCCAACAAUCAGCCAUAAUUUGCAAGACACGUACAUGAGCUACCUUAGAAGAGAAUCCCUGGGCCCCAGAUAAGCCUUCAGGUGAAUGCAGCCCUGGAAGACAUCUUAACUGCAACCUCAUGAGAGACCCUGAGCCAGAACCAACCAGCUAAGGCACUGCCCGAUUCCUGACCUACACGCAUGGGGGUGUGAGAUAAUGUUUAUUGUGCUAAGCCACUAAGUUUUGCUAUAAUUUGUCAUGUAGAAAUAGAUAAUGAAUACAUGCUGGCAGGUAGGAAGGAAAUCAUCAGAGACAUGUUCAGGAAGAAUUAAUACUAGGAAAGAAAGUGUACCCCCACCCCCACCAAAAAACCAUGGAUAUGUUUUUUAUGCAUUUAAAAAUGCAUAUUAAAAUUAUAAUGAGAUUCUACUUUUCAUGAGAUCAGCUAAAAUUGAAAUCUGAUAGUACCAAGUGUCUCAUACACUGCUGUCAGAACAUAAAUUGGUACAAUCAGUUUUCAGAAAACAGUUUUACAUUACCUAGUAAAGGUGAAGUUACACAUACCACCAGAUAGAUUAUCAACAUCCUACCCUUAUAUGCACACACCAGAAAUAAGUGCACAUGUACAUCGAAAAAUAUGUACAUCAAUGUUCAUAGCAGUAUUACUCAUAAAAACCUGAAACCAGAAACAAGUAUCCCUCAACGGUAAGAAAAUUGUGGAAGAUUCAUUCACUAGCAUACUGUACGUUAAGUGAAAAUCAACAAAAUAUAGCUACAGGCAAUAAUGUGGAUGAGGCUUAAAAACAAUGUUGAGUGGAAAAGGUCCCACACAAAGGAAUAUAUAUAGUAUGAAUCUAUUUAUGUGAAGUUCAAAGGGAGGCAGAGUUAAGCUAUUUGUUUUAGGGAUGAUUACUUAGGAGGUAAAUACAUAAAGAAAAGUAAGAAAAGUGAAUACCAUAAAUGUCAGAAUAAUGGUUUCUUUAGGGAGGAUUAUAUACAGGUUGUGAUUGGAAAGGGGCUAUGGGUGGGGGCUUUCGGAGGUGUUUACAAUAUAUCAUUUCUUUUUUUUGUUGUUUCCUUUAAA